This is a ribosomal RNA of 307 nucleotides. It matches the Rfam family "Bacterial large subunit ribosomal RNA", at positions 1382 to 1696 of the family's 2925-position model.
AGUCGGCCCCUAAGGCGAGGCAGAGAUGCGUAGCUGAUGGGAAGCAGGUUAAUAUUCCUGCACCGUCGUAUGAUGCGAUGGGGGGACGGAUCGCGGAAGGUUGUCUGACUGUUGGAAUAGUCAGUUUUUGACUCAUAGAAGGUGCUUAGGCAAAUCCGGGCACGUAAUUCAAGGGGUUGAGACGAGUGAACUUGUUCACGAAGCAAUCGGAAGUGGUUCCAAGAAAAGCCUCUAAGCUUCAGUCAUACGAGACCGUACCGCAAACCGACACAGGUGGGCGAGAUGAGUAUUCUAAGGCGCUUGAGAG